AUGCUGGAGGCCACCCAGCCCAAACCAUCCCCUUCCCUGCAGCUGGAUCCCCCCAGCACGGCUCAUCCAGAGCUCCAAAAUCAGGGACAUCUUUGGAGCAAAGGGACAGCUCCACCCUCCACAGGGACCUGGGGCUUUUUAUGGAAAGAUCCAAGACCAGAGAGAUUUUUGGAGCAAAAGGACAACUCCCAGCCCUGCAAAACCCACCCAGGGCUGGGUCCUGCCCUCCCCAUCCAUCCCCUGCCCUUCCCAGAUUCCCCAUUCCUGGCUGGGGCUCUCGGCUCUUCCCUUCCCUUUGAUCCUCUCCUCCUGCCUUCUCCUGCUGGAUGUGGCCCACAAGUUCCUGGAUAUUCUCCAGCUGCAGUUCCAGCAGGGAGAGCCCCAGGGCUGGCACAGCUGGCAGAGCAGCCCACACCACCCUACAACUCCAGGAACUCCUCAAAUUUCCCAGCUGGAACAGCCGGGGGUCUCCCUGCGGCUCCAGCGCGUGGCACACGCAGGAACGCGAGGAAAAGAAACGGAAAAGCCAUGGAAAAUCCCUGGGGGAGCACAGCUGGAAGGACCAGCACAUCUGGGCACUGCUCCAGCUGCUCCUGGCUGGGAUCACCACGAGGGAUCGGAAUUUGGGCAGAGGGGACGAAGCCAGGCUGGGCUUUGGGAAGGGAAGGUGCUGGAGGAGCUCCGCUCACUCUGGGGUUCAUUUUCCCAAAAAUCUGCUCUGCAGCCGGGGGAUGGCUCCUCCUGUGCGGAGCUUCCUCCCCUCUUCCCCAUCCCUCUUCCCACCGGGAAUCCCUGAGGAGCCUCCUGCAGGAGGGAGCAGCUGCCUGCCCCAGGGGUUCCAUCCAUCCCUGCGGCUCUGCUCAUGGAGAAAUGACAUUUCCAGGAAUUUUUGGGGAUAUGGGCUUCCCCAAAAAAGCCUGCCCGUGUUCAGCUCCAUCCCAGCUCCUCAGAGGGAGGCACAGGAUCACAUCCUCCAUCCUCCUUUCUUUUUCCCCUUCAAACUCCAACAGCCCCCAUGGAGCUGAGGUGACCCAAGAGGCUGUGACAUCAUUAACACCACAAAAAGUCAGCUCCAAACCCAAAAAUUUCUCCUGGAGCUCGCCUGCCUCUCCAGGGGGAGAGCAAAAGCGUGGAAGCAGGAGAUAA
Molecule: long non-coding RNA, 1146 nt
Filed under: Cyanistes caeruleus (blue tit)
Lineage: Eukaryota; Metazoa; Chordata; Aves; Passeriformes; Paridae
Description: lncRNA (ENSCCEG00000015317.1)
Source: RNAcentral